Pelobates cultripes (western spadefoot toad) is the source of this 110-nucleotide non-coding RNA. The record is from the annotation of a GenBank genome assembly. NCBI's taxonomy places the organism in Eukaryota, Metazoa, Chordata, Amphibia, Anura, Pelobatidae.
CUCCGGCAGACCCUCCCUCCCAGACCCUCCUACUUCCUGGACAGCAUCCAUGCUGAAACAUGGAUGCUGUCCAGGAAGUAGGAGGGUCUGGGAGGGAGGGUCUGCCGGAG